CGAACGCACCUACUCUGUUUUUGUGAUUCAUUAGAUAGGUAUUUCACUUGACCCAUAUAUUUCAUCUUUUCGUACUGUGACUAUUUCAUGUUAACGUCAACCUGUAGCUUUGAUUUAUAAAAAUGAUAGAAUCUGAAGCGAGAUUAUAUAUAAAAUGCUCUUGCUUUAUACGUUUUAAGGACAAAAUAUACACCCCAAACAAGCCCUAAUAUAAAAAGGUGCACUCGAUUUUCUCUUUUCGAUACAAUUUUUACCCAUUUUUUAUAAUUUUUUCUUAAGACACAUAAUGGGAGGGCUGACACGAAAAUUACUGAACUAAUAGAUUGAUAUGUUCUCCGUCCGUGGUAAAAAAAAAUAAAAAAUCGGAGGUUAUGCAUUUUCUACAUCCAAC
This 391-nucleotide long non-coding RNA is filed under the name Mytilus galloprovincialis (Mediterranean mussel). The record is from RNAcentral. Lineage: Eukaryota; Metazoa; Mollusca; Bivalvia; Mytilida; Mytilidae.